Molecule: RNA transcript, 378 nt
Organism: Zea mays
Lineage: Eukaryota; Viridiplantae; Streptophyta; Magnoliopsida; Poales; Poaceae
Gene name: DUF3819 superfamily protein pseudogene
Exons: 3
Source: RefSeq, marked validated
AUGGAUUUGGUUUUGGAUAAGGCUAACAGGGAGAUAAUACUCCCUGUUAUUCAAAGAAGUGUGACCAUAGCAAGCCGAACUACAAAAGAACUUAUUCUGAAGGAUUAUGCACUGGAGUCUGAUAACAAUACGAUAACUCGAUCCGCACAUUUGAUGGUUGGAACAUUAGCCGGAAGUCUGGCACAUGUUACUUGCAAGGAACCUCUUCGCGUUGCACUAUAUUCUAAUCUACGGAAUCUCAUUCAGAACCUUAUGAGCGGCAGUGAAACUAUCGAGCAACUUAUUCACACGCUAAUCAAUGAUAACUUGGAUCUUGGCUGUGCCAUCAUUGAGGUUGUGGCAACACGUCAGGUAGCUUCUUGACAAUUCUAAUUCUGC